AUUGGACGCUGGCGGCAUGCUUUACACAUGCAAGUCGAACGGUAACAGGCCUUCGGGUGCUGACGAGUGGCGAACGGGUGAGUAAUGCAUCGGAACGUACCCAGAGGUGGGGGAUAACGCAGCGAAAGCUGUGCUAAUACCGCAUGUGAUCUGAGGAUGAAAGCGGGGGACCGAGCAGCAAUGUUUGGCCUCGCGCCUUUGGAGCGGCCGAUGUCGGAUUAGCUAGUUGGUGGGGUAAAGGCCUACCAAGGCGACGAUCCGUAGCUGGUCUGAGAGGACGACCAGCCACACUGGGACUGAGACACGGCCCAGACUCCUACGGGAGGCGGCAGUGGGGAAUUUUGGACAAUGGGCGCAAGCCUGAUCCAGCAAUGCCGCGUGCGGGAAGAAGGCCUUCGGGUUGUAAACCGCUUUUGGCAGGAACGAAACGGUGUCCGCUAAUACCGGGCGCUAAUGACGGUACCUGCAGAAUAAGCACCGGCUAACUACGUG
Molecule: ribosomal RNA, 492 nt
Filed under: uncultured bacterium
Lineage: Bacteria
Description: partial 16S ribosomal RNA
Rfam family: Bacterial small subunit ribosomal RNA
Source: RNAcentral